RNAcentral lists this long non-coding RNA (3144 nucleotides) under Mus musculus (house mouse). Its description in RNAcentral is "long non-coding RNA chr6:47276067-47279211". The record is from RNAcentral. Lineage: Eukaryota; Metazoa; Chordata; Mammalia; Rodentia; Muridae.
GCCUUCGCCACAGCAAUGUCCUAAGUCACUGUAAUAGAGCUCUUGGAGCUGCUUUAGAACCGUCAUCAUCAGGUAGAAAAAGCAACCCCAGCCUGGCUUAUUUUAAGGGUCACAAAAUACAGUUAGUUACUGUGACUUAUCCCUCAGAAUUGUUGGCUCUGGUAUUUUUCUCUGUCACAUUCAGAAUCUUACUUCCUUGGAAUGAGGAAGACAUGCCAGCAAGAGAUGGCUACAGAUGGUCUCGCACAGUCUGUAAAACACAAAAGCAAAACAAACAGCAGAAAGCCUGAGUCCAAAAGUCAGCUAGCGCCCAUUUCUGUGCUAAGGAACCACUCCGAACUGCAUGCCAGGUUGCUUGUGGCCAUUCCUCGGGGAGUUUGGUCUCAUUCAUGAUAUUUGACACACAAUGAAUUGGACCAAAGGCGUUUCUUUCAAAAGAUCAUUUCAACAGACAGGUGCAAAGCCUCAUUCCCUAUAGGUCUUUGGUCAGAAGGAUGACAAUGGACUUCUACACUCUCACAGGACUUGAGUGCAUGCAGCAGAUACCCUUGGCACAAUUCAUAUAGUAUGUGAUACCUCAACCUCAGAAAACCUGCCUUUGGAAGGUGCUGCCAGCUGAAUUCAUUGUAGCCACUGUGACCCUGAGCUGUCUGGCUCCUAGACCUUAAAUAGCCCUGAAUCUGAUACUUGGUCGUCCUUAUCAGAAAUCCUCACAGAGCCUCCUUAGUGAAGCAGGUGAAAAAUCAGAAAUAAGUAAUCAUGGGCAGAGUUUUCCAAAAUGGUUGGGAAAGCAGCCCUCUUAGGAGCAUAGCUCAGCCCCCACAUAAAAGUCCACCCUUGGAUAUAUAUAUAUAUUUCAAUAAGAAUUAUCUUGUGGUAGUUUUUCUUUCAACUUGAGUGAUUUAGAGUCACCUAGGAGAUUGAGACACACCUCCAGUGUGUCCAGGAGGUUAUAAACCAGCAUAGAAUAACUGAAUACUUACCCAGAACACGGGUGUACUCAUUAUCUGGGUUGGGGCCUUGGGUGGAGUAAGAGGGACAGGAGAUAGCCUGAAACUGCCAGCUUUCUCCUCUCUGUACAUCCCACUUCCUCAAGCACUCUGCCUUGCUUGCCCUCUCUACCAUGGACUGCAUCCUCUGAGAACAGCAAACAAAAUAUCUACUUCUUCCCUUCUGGUGUUUCUGGAAGGGCUUUUGCUUACCACACUAUGAAAGAAACUAAUAUUACUUAAUGUAUAAAUAAUACUUACAAGCCAAUUCAUAAGUGACCAACAAUCCAAUAAAACUAUAAUAAUUCUUUGAACAAAGAAUAUAGUAAGCAGGCAGUUUAUAGAAAAAUAAAUACAAAUGACGCAUAUAUAUGCACCAAGAAACUUAACUUCACCCACAAGUAAUGAAAAUGUAAAUUAAGAUGAUAGCAAAAUUUCAUUAUCCAAUAAAACAUAGCAAAACUGAAAAGGAUGUUAUGAGGCACUAGUUUGAUUGAGUUUGUGGGGAAAAAGCACACUGUCAGUUGGAUUAUGCCAUAAGGAAAUUUAUAGUAAUUACACCAAGUGAAAUGUAAGUAUAUCCUCAGUUGGAAAAUCGAGGACCAAGUUAUCUGCUAUGAAAAUAUCAUAGGAACAAAAGUGUAAUGAAUGCUAUCAUUUGCUGUAGAAAUCUGUACUACUGCACAUGCAGGAAAAGCAGGAUUUGGAACAUUUGCAGGAAAAUAAAUGCACAUUAGCUAAUGGGCAUGCAUUUUUUCUUCACACUCGAAUAUGAGUGGGCACUGUGCUGGUUGCUAAAGAGGAAGGAAGAACGGCAAAAAUAAAAUAACACAAGGACUAAGUGUAUGAACUAAGUGCAUUAAUCAUGAGAUCUUAGCACAACCACGAGAAAAGAGACGAAGGUGUAAUUAUCGGAGCAGGAACGAUGCCUUUUAAGUGCUUGCAGGUGGUAAAGAAAGAAAAACACCAGCUUGUAUUUAGGAAGGAAGCUGAAUAGAUGUGUGAAGUUUUAAAAUGUUCAUUAUAUCCAUAACUCAUUUGCAUAUGAAGAUAGAAAAUAUUUUAUCUUUAGAUGGUAGAAAAGAAAUUUGGCGUAGGGACAAGAGACUAAGUUGUUAAAAACCAUAGCAUUAGGGCUGGGGAGAUGGCUCAGCGUGAAGGCUGGAGUUCAGAUCCUUGCACCCUCGUAGACUUGGAGGCCACAUGUAAUCCUAGCACUGAGAAGGUAGAGACAGGGCACCCUGGGGCAAGCCGGCUAAUUAGACUGCUGGAAGCAGCAAGUUCCACCUUCUGUAAGAGAGUCCUCAAUAAAUAAAGUGGAGAGUGACCGAAGAAUAUACCCAAGGUGAACUCUCAACCUCUACAUGUGUGUGCACACAUAUGUAGUCUCACCUGAACACACAUAUACCCACACACGUUUGGAUACACAAGCACACAUUCAAGUACACUGUGCACAAAUACAAACACACAAAGAGAAGAAAAAUCACAGCCACAGAGGCAGGACGCCUUCAGAAAUACAUUUUAGUGGUGAAUGGGCUGAUGUAGUGACCAGAAACCAUGCUUCCCAGUUCCAGAGAGACUAUUCUGGAAAAUAAGGGAGUGUGGAGUUGUUACAAUGAACAAGGGUGGACAUAAAAGGGUGUGUGUGUGUAUAUAUAUAUAUAUAUGCUUUCCAAGUUCAAUUUCUAAUUUUUGAUGUAUGGGGCUUUCUCCUAUUAGAUGUCUCUAAUUUUUACAUGAUAAAGUGUUAAUGCUUUAUGCUGUGCGUGGGGUAUUUACAGCCUCCUCCAUUUGGAACAUGCUUUAUGAAUUAGAAUUAUGAAUCUGUAUUUCUCAUAAUGAUUUUGUUUUGAUGAUCAUAUCUGCAUAUUUGCUCCACUAUAAACUUCCUUUUGUGGGAGGAGACUGAUAAGAAACCAACUUUCUUUUUCCUCAGUGACUGGCUCAUUGCUCCAGCGCCAGUGAUUGACAUGUGUCCUUUAUUACAUUCUAAACUACCCUUUAUAGGCAAGCUAUUUCUCAACUCUGCAGCCUGUAACAAGAUCUGAUACUUCAUGAAACAGAAGCAAGUUCUGGGCUCUUCUGGAUGCACUGAACAGCAUACAAAACAAAUUUUCUCUCAUUUUUUCUUUCUUUUCUUUCCUUACAAUAGAUU